Molecule: ribosomal RNA, 435 nt
Filed under: uncultured bacterium
Lineage: Bacteria
Description: partial 16S ribosomal RNA
Rfam family: Bacterial small subunit ribosomal RNA
Source: RNAcentral
AGCGAACGCUGGCGGCAGGCUUAACACAUGCAAGUCGAGCGGGCAUCUUCGGAUGUCAGCGGCAGACGGGUGAGUAACACGUGGGAGCGUACCCUUCGGUUCGGAACAACUCUGGGAAACUGGAGCUAAUACCGGAUACGCCCUUAUGGGGAAAGGUUUACUGCCGAAGGAUCGGCCCGCGUCUGAUUAGCUAGUUGGUGGGGUAACGGCCUACCAAGGCGACGAUCAGUAGCUGGUCUGAGAGGAUGAUCAGCCACACUGGGACUGAGACACGGCCCAGACUCCUACGGGAGGCAGCAGUGGGGAAUAUUGGACAAUGGGCGCAAGCCUGAUCCAGCCAUGCCGCGUGAGUGAUGAAGGCCUUAGGGUUGUAAAGCUCUUUUGUCCGGGACGAUAAUGACGGUACCGGAAGAAUAAGCCCCGGCUAACUUCGUG